UACGGGGGGGGCAAGCGUUGUUCGGAAUUACUGGGCGUAAAGGGCUCGUAGGCGGCCAACUAAGUCAGACGUGAAAUCCCUCGGCUUAACCGGGGAACUGCAUCUGAUACUGGAUGGCUUGAGUUCGGGAGAGGGAUGCGGAAUUCCAGGUGUAGCGGUGAAAUGCGUAGAUAUCGGGAAGAACACCAGUGGCGAAGGCGCUCUACUGGGCCACAACUGACGCUGAGGGACGAAAGCUAGGGGAGCGAAAGGG
RNAcentral lists this ribosomal RNA (253 nucleotides) under uncultured bacterium. Its description in RNAcentral is "partial 16S ribosomal RNA". It matches the Rfam family "Bacterial small subunit ribosomal RNA", at positions 524 to 776 of the family's 1533-position model. The record is from RNAcentral.